GGCCCAUCCGUGGUACCAGUGAAUAGCGUUUGAUUCAUCUGUGUACAUUAAGUUUAUUUAACCUUCCCCGUCAACUACCAUUCCCCGGGGUUCUUGGGUGUGUUCUACAAACCUUUCUUCGGUUAACCCUGUUUCCUUCUUGAAUUCCACCAUUAAAUGUUCUUUCGCUCGCUGUUGCCGACUUUAAACCGUACCCGAGAUAUAGACAAUCAGUGCGAUUGUACAGAUAACCCUCAGCCAGAUAGAAAAACGUUCAUAUCUGCCCCGAUAUGGUUCUUGGGGCACAAACCGGCAACCCACUCGAGGCAGCAUUUUGUCGCCUGUGCAAACAGAUAAAAUCGCACAGCGGACAACCGGCAGUCCGGAGAGCCGGGAGCACCUCUAAGACGAAGUGUUAGUUUCGGGCUUGCGGUCACCCCCUCCCGCACGAGCCACCGGGGUGAUGCAGUAUGCGGGCACGAUAUUCAUUACAAUUUUCCCUGUCUACUUCCUGCGAGCGCCUAUCGGGGCCGUCGGCCCAGGUUUUUACAGUAUCAGAACAUCAGUUUUGAACUGCGCGUGUCAGUUCGAUUACGGCCAGAGGCGCAUAUGGUAUGCGGAUCUGUUGAGAAAGUGUUUUGUGCGGUGCAUUUUGAUCUUAAGUUGCGCAUGAUGGCAUCGAGGAAUUGCAACUUGUCCCCGGAUUGGGCAGCGCGACAGCGAAGUGCAUGUGCAGUGUGUAAAGAAGAAAACCUAUCCACAGCUUGGUGACCAGUCGGGCAAACUAGUGACGAAAAUGGUGUGUGCAAGCCUUGCCACCAGGCGAACGCCUUUCGGUAGCCCCUUUCGUGUUUGCGUGUGAUUUAUGGUGGCUCGUCGUCAAGAAGUCGAACAAAUUGAACUGUUAGGAUGGAAUGUUUUUUAAGCACUUCAAGCGGCUUGGAAAAAUUGGUUCACAAAUCGUGCUGCCCGAUCUGACGUACAAUAAAAUGUAUGCUUUAUUGAGCUUGUGGUUCCAAGUGAUUGCACCACCGUUACAUCUACACUCUCUUCACAUUAACACACACACACACAUACAAGUAAAGUUCGGGGACGUUGGUCGGAAAAGAGUGAGAAAAAAAGCUGCUACAGUACAUAAGCGUUAUCUAUAUCACGCCCCAUAUCAGAAAGCGCUUAUAUUCACCGUCUUUACAACACCAACAGGCAACAAAUAUCUGUACUGUUACGCAUACACAUACACAGCUCUUUCCUUGAAUAAUGCCCAUGGUGAUGAUGAUGAUGAUCAUGAUGGUGGCUAUGAUUCAUGGAGAGGAAUCUGCUAACAAUAAUAAUAUUAACAUUAAAAGUUAUUAUUAUGAUUGGACUGGGCGCAUUACUAAUUUCGUGGAAAUUUUUAGCAUGGUGGGAAGCUAACAUGUCAAAAUUAACUCAUCGCAACGUUGGGAACAGGACUUCAAAUCCUGCCUGCCAAUUCAAUUCAAGUCACACGUGUACGGAGAAAAGGUUCAAAUCAGCUAUCAGCAAAAUAAGCAAAGUUGCUCGCUACAACGUUGCUGCUUACAUUAGGAAUUUGUUCCUUUUGACUCUAUUUGCCGCAAAGUUUAAUAACCUCCGGCCUAGAUCAUCUACAAAAAGUGACCCGUUAGAGGAUGUGUCGCAUGUAUACGGCGGAGAAAGCUGCAGUGUUAUUAUUUUCUUUUUAUUACUUCAAAUAUAUUUUCCCGAGAUAGUAAUGGUGCAGUAGGAGAUACCAAAAUAAAUUUUGCACAAAUUUCAUUCAAAGCUCAGCACUGACCUUACACGAGCACACAUUUUUUUAUGUUUUUCGCAAAUUACUGAAGCAAGUGAUUCUAAAAAUGCAAGUACACUGUUUCCUUGUUUGUACGGAUUCCCUAAGGAUUCCCUUGUUUGUACGUAAGAAGGUGUAAAUGAAACGUUACAGUGGCUUUGUUUAGUUUUGACCUUCUCUAGGUGAUUCGUUGCUCUUCAGACAUUCGAUCUAGUUAUAAUAUAUCUCUUUUCAUCACUGCAUAAUCACAAGAAUCUGUUGGGUCUUGAUCGUACAAUUUACAAUUACGUCGUCACACAACCACUUCUACAAUUGUUUGCUAACGGAGCUCAGUAAAUAACACCAGUUUAUAUUUAAAAUUAUGUUUAUUAUUUCAUGUUGAAUUAAAUGUCUAGAAUUAUUACGAGUUGUAUUGAUUGCUCAUUUAAAAAAAAACCUAAAAUUAUCUUGCAAAAAUAGGACUGAACAAACGAUUAUUAUACAAAACUUGGCUAACUGUUUUCCUUUUAACACACAUUCCACUCGCCAGCACUUUUCAAACUUAAUGCUAUGCUACUGUAUGCUAAAAACAAAUUUGGAACGAUUGCGAAGUAUCCAGAGAGCAGAUAAUUUCUGUACAUUUUGUUUUGCUUUCCAGCUCGAUGCUAGAGUAAUUCGGAACAUUAUAUACAGCUAUUCUAAUGUUAAUAUCCCCUGCAUUCGAUCAGAUCAAAACAUUUACAUCAUAAAGAAAUUGCAUAAUAUUUGCUAAGAGAUUGUUACUCAUUGACGUGAUUAGAAGAUACACUCGACCCAUCCUUUCUGUAGCUUAAAGUAAAUGACAACUAACCAAACGGUGGUAGAGUGUCGGAUAGUGUUCUUUUUUUGUGUGGUUGUUGCUUUAUACUACAUUACACCUAAUGUCAUAAUUGCACUAAUUGAGGAAUGGACAAUAUCGCACUCCUUUCGGUGGAUAUGCAUUGUUCCCAUCUUUCUGCUGCAUUGCUCCACCAUCUUCUUACAGCUAACCCAUUGUGCGUGUGCGGUGCUGUACGUGCAGUAGAGCUAACGCUUUAAUCCUACAUUCUUAACAUGUUCUUAACAUUCGUCGAGUCUUUUGCGUUAUUCAGUUCAUUUGGUAUGAGAAGCUUCCCUGAAGACAGAAACAAACGACCAUUCGAGAUUCGUCCAUCUGUACACGUGUGACAAUUCGCGCCAUUCACGUCACCUGUUCCAGCACCUUAUCGCGUCAUCGAUACCACGGUCGGGCGGUUGAUGUUGUGCUUGCUCUCGAUCAUCUCCUGCUGCCCGUGAGCCUGUUCACUCUCCUCAUCCGCGACCGAAGGACUGCGGCUGUGAUUGUGCGCUCCCGGUGCGUGCUGACCGUGGCCAAGCGUUCCAACCAUGUGACCCUCGUGGUGCAGUGCCUGCUGGUAGCUGGCGUAGUGAUUUCCACCCAUCGGUUCCAUCUUUACAAUCGUGCCCAGCGAGUGCUGAUCGACGCUACCGUUCACAUCGGCCGGCAGCAUAUCGUAGUACAGCAUGUCCUCGGGCGAUUGCGGUGGGCUUUGCUGAUACUUGGAGCUAACGAUCGAUCCGUUAUUGUUUCCAUGCCCAACGCCCGCCAUACUGUAGCUCACCGGGCUCAGUGCCCCGGUGGCAGCGGCAGCCGUGGAUUGAUGAUGCUGAUGGUGGUGAUGCUGACCCGACCCGAUACCGCCCGUGGGACUGCCGACGAACAUGUUCAUCGGUGUGGGCGACUGUAGCAAAAAGGCAUUGGUGGCUUUGGGUUGCUGGUUGUUAUAUUUGCUGUUGCUGACGAUUGCGCCGCUCGAGGAAGUGCUGGUGAUUGGCGAGGGGACCUGCUGCGUGUAGCAGAUCGGGGACAUAUGGUUAUGGUGCGCGGGCGACUGAUUGCUGCCCUCGCUUGACGGUGACGAUGGCAGCAGCUUGUCGAAGGAGGAGUUUUCCGCAAUGUUCAUCAACUUGAGGCCUGUGACAAAAAAAAAAAACAUAUCAUUAUUUUAACAAUUCUCAUUGCGUUUUUUUUAACAUUCGUUCGUGAAUCGCGAGCGCCAACACAAACACAUUCGAGCAGCCAGCCCAUGAAACGUAUAAACCCCUAAAAGUAUGCAAUCUACUUACCAUCUGUUUUCUUCGGUGUCUCGGCUAGGCUGCUACUGCUCGAAUUGGUCUGACGGUUAGCCGAAGCGUUACUAGCGUUACUCUUGCCGUUACCAUCGCUAUUUUUGCUUCCCUUUGGUUUGCGCUUACGAGACUGCAAAGGAAAAUGGAUUCAGUGGACGGUUCACGUUGUGCAGUUUGUAGUACAGUCCACACGCAUUGCAGACUGGUUCACCGACUUGAUUGCGGCGCCACAGCGAAGUGUUGGUUGUGUUGCAGUUAGAGCAUUGCAGUCCUACACGUCUUGCCGAGCUCUGAUGAGGAUAGUUAAAACAGAAUCAGUAUUAGAAACGGUUUUUGUUAAACGAACAUCGAAACAAACAACACGGAUACAUGGGGACAUUUUUUGUUACAGGGAGUGUGGAUGAUUAGAUUACAAAGCGAUAAUAGGUAAAUUAGUAAGCAACAGUAACUAAAAGAUGCUAGUAAAUGUUAGAGUUAGAGCAUCUCUAAAACAAUGGGAAAGAUCUGCGAACUAAACUACGCUAAGGGAAUUCGGGGUCAUUCGGAGGGGUUCCAAGCAACAACAACAACAACACCAGGAUAAGGCUCUAAUGAAAUCCGUUCCAAAUGAAAAAGGUCCGAAGAAGGAAACCUACCAUCCGUCGACUUUGCUUCUCCUCGGUGGUGCGAGUGGUCAAGUUACUGAAGGUAUAGUUGUUCUUAUAGAGAUCCCCGCCCUGUUCUGCGGCCACUGGAAUUACAAUUUUGGGAUAUGGUAGACUUUGAUUAGUUGCUCACAAACAAACAAACGGGAAACAAAACAAUAGGUAACCUGACGAGUACGAAGUGUGUAUUUAAAAAAAGGAAUUAAAAAAAACAUAGGAAUUUGGAAACAUCAUUCAACAACACCAAUUUCGAGUACGAGCAAAGUUCGAAACUAGCUAUCAGCAGCAAAGCAAAACGGGAGCAUUUUUCACGAUGAUGGCACCAACGCAAUCAACAGAAUGGCAACCGCUUGGUAGACGCGUAAUACAAAAGUCUAUCAUUUGCGAGUACUAGCAACAAUGGCAUACAAAAUAAUAAUAAAAGAAACACACACACACACUGAGCUGCUGCUACUACUGCAUGAACAAUGGUAUCUAAAUUAUGGCCGGGCGGGGGGUACACAUUCAGCUUGAAAUACAACUAGAAGCCAACUAGUAUCUAUCCCUUCUAUUAUUUUAGAUUUUUUUUCUAGACCUUCCAAAUUGGAAUGGAUUUCUGAGGAGCAUUAAAAUGAUGCGAAGCUUUCACCCUCUCGAACCCACCCCCAACUCAGGGACAAAUACCCAAACACACACAGACAUAUAAAACACAUAAACAAAUCUUAUGUAAAUUGCAAGGAGAAAAAAUGAUACUAAUGAAUUGUUCAAUGAUACAUUAACUAAUGAGAAAACUUUACAGUUGAAAGUAAUGUAAAAGAAAUAAAAAAUAAACAAUGCUCCUCCUAGAGCGCAAAUCAUCACAAAAUGUGAUAGAACUAAA
Anopheles gambiae (African malaria mosquito) is the source of this 5398-nucleotide long non-coding RNA. RefSeq lists it as uncharacterized. Lineage: Eukaryota; Metazoa; Arthropoda; Insecta; Diptera; Culicidae. The transcript has 3 exons. The record is from RefSeq and is a predicted model, not a curated record.